UGAACCAAUCUUUACAGUGUUGCCGCUUGCAAUCUAUUCAUGCCUGGUUAUUACAGAAAAUGAGAACACACAGCUUGAGUAGAGACCACCAAGUGUGAAAGGGAAGGCUGGCCAGCAAAGCCAGACGACCCAGCUGUCCGAUGUGCUUGUGACGUUGUGAUCUCUGGAGACACAGACAUUGGCAGAUAGGCCUUCAGUCCCCAACCCAUCCUGACGCCUAGAGAAAGCCUAGGUAGUGAGGGCCGUAACCUCGGGGGAUGGCUCAGAGUGUCCAUCCUUUCUCCAGCCUGCCCCAGAACUUAAGCUGAGCCUUCUGCACACACUGGAGAGCGGGCUUGAGUGUGUGGAAGGGACGGACUACACUCUGAGACACUCAGUAACUAGCAUCCCAACUUCUCUUCCUGGCCUUGGAUGCUGGCGGCCAAAGGGUCUCACUUAUAGCCUUGCUGCGAACACCAGGCUGGCUUGGAACUCACAGAGAUCACCAUCCUCUGCUUCCAGAUUGCCUCUGCUUCUACAGGCCUGUGCUACCAUGCCCUGCUUUGGGAAAUGCACUGCAGUACCACUGUUCAAUGGCUACGGGAUGCUAUCCCGUUCUGUGACCACAGAAUUACAUUUCUUCAAUCUGUAUUUGUUCAAAUCACAAACACCCACACAACUUUCGCCUGUAUACUUCAUUUUCUUCAGACAAAUUUUCAAAUAUGAAAUCUCUAUAUUGACACCCAGGAACAAACAGACUUUAAUACCUGUUGCCAAGGCCCCACCUAGAAAAGUUCUACCAAAUUGGGGUGACAAGUGCCCAUUUUCCUGAAUUCUCCCAGAGUUUUAUAACUUUUGAUGCAUUUUAAUUUGAUAUCAACCAUCAUAGUUUAUAUUUUUAACCACUAAGAGAGUUAUUGGUAAGUUUCUUCCUGUAUUAGUUUUGGAUAGUUUUAUCGGGCUCAGUGCAAUGCAGGGGACACCUGUCCCUUAUGAAAGCGGGGCGUGACAUCUGGCCAGCUAUGUACAUGGCGGCAGCAGCUGGGGUUAUGGCUUGUUCAAAUCUGAAGGAUCAGGAAGCAGAGACCCCGGGCUGGAAAUGGUGGCAGGUCUAAUCUUUAGAGCCUACUUCUGGAAGCCUAGACCUAUCAGCUGUGCCUUGCAUUCAAAAGAUUUCAUGACCUCCCAAGGCACCACCAAGAACCAGACCUAUAACCCUGUAUAGUGUGAUGUUUCACUUUAAACCUCAACAUUGUUCUUGUAAUAGUUUUCUGUUCAUGAAUUUGUUUUAUCUUUUUGUAUUGAUAUCAUUAUGUUACUAUUGGUUUAAAAUGCUCUUUAUGCA
This is a long non-coding RNA of Mus musculus (house mouse), 1324 nucleotides long. RefSeq annotates it as predicted gene, 41597. The record is from RefSeq and is a predicted model, not a curated record. NCBI's taxonomy places the organism in Eukaryota, Metazoa, Chordata, Mammalia, Rodentia, Muridae. The transcript has 2 exons.